Molecule: long non-coding RNA, 4884 nt
Organism: Bactrocera dorsalis (oriental fruit fly)
Lineage: Eukaryota; Metazoa; Arthropoda; Insecta; Diptera; Tephritidae
Exons: 3
Source: RefSeq, a predicted model, not a curated record
AUUCCAGAUAAAUCCAUGGGUUUUCUACAGUACUAAAUAUCUCAAUAUGCUUGUCACAAGACUGAUUCAUAUUGAAAACGUGUUCAAUUUGAGAAAACGCAAAUUUGGUGGUAAAAAAGAGAGAAGUUAUAAAAGCUUGAUAUUUAUUUUGAGAUAACGUCACUUCCGACAUGUGGUGCUCUUCUCGAGCAGGAAAAUUUUCUACCAAUCUUUUUAUUUAAUUUUCUCAAACUUUGUUCAACUUUAUUUUCGCAAAAACAUUUUUUAAAUAAACUGCCCACAUGUUUAUUUUUUUUAUUAAUUACCGAUGGUUGUGUGAUUAAGUUUUGAGACGCCAUUCACACCGCAUAUAAGAAACAUUGAAAGACAAGGAAUUACUGGUCCGAUGUUUAACACCUUACAAAUCGGAUAUAUGAUAUACAUACGAACGGAAUUGCUCAAGCGCAUCGUACGCGUUGGAUAAAUUAGCUAAAUUUAAAAUUCAUCUUGAAAAUCCGCGAAGACGAACCACCUCCUAGUCCAGGGUGUUAUGCGACUCCCGUGUCCAUUGGAUGAUUUGCAGCCAGGAGCUGGCAUGAAUGGUGCCACACUCAAGUGGUAUUUGAGGUACCUACAAGAUGUUAUGACACCAGAGGCAGCAGAGAAGGGGUCUCUGAGCAGGAGCAAAAAGGAGGCAGGAGCGUCGGCUACCAGACGUAGGAAUUGGAUGCGUCUCCCAGCCAACGGAAACUUGCCGAAGAGACGGAACAGCUAAAGGUCGGCACAUCAGAAUGCCACAUGUCGGUUCACAAAACAGAAAAGCGGGCAGAUAACUCCUCAGGCGCCGCCAAGGACGAAUAGGGUCAAGGAGAACAAACCACAGGCGGUCGAAAGAAGACGCUCCACCAAAAUCUGCUGCUGGCGGAAACGGUACAGCCAAGGUACUAGGAGGCCUUAAAAAGCAUUCGGAUGGCGAUGCUGCCCCGUAAUUACCCGCCAGAGGUUUUGGGAUAUGAAAAGCAAACGGUAGGAACCAACGAUGCAGGCGGACGAGAUACCGACUCACUCCGACGCCAACUCAUCUAUGGUUACAAAAGAAGCGGCACGAGACCCCCAAAGACACCAAUUCGGCUGUGCAGGUUCCAACUGCGGCUAGGGGUGAAGGAAAGCUCCCAAUGAGAAGGAUGGGACGGUACCAUCCACUUAAAAGAUUGGUGAGGAUGGUGGAGACGAGGACGUGAUUCUCAUCGACAGGGUCUCAUCGAUCCCAGAGGCAGCUAGAUAGCACAAGGCGUUGUCAAGAGGCAAGACGGACAUAGUAUUUUCCAUCAAAAGACAGGACGGGACCUAUACGACUAGUACGGAGGAGAGGGCAGAGACACUCCUGCAAAAGCACUUCCCGGAGACGUUCAGGCUGACCAAACUUUAGCAUUGGUCGCAGGUAGGCCAGAUCGCCUAGAAUGGCUGACUGCAAGGAAAUUGUUCACUGCAGGCCCAAUCAGGUGGGCACUGGCCUCCUUCUCAAACUAUAACAAGGGGCGGAUGGCAUCUUUCCAGCUCUUUCUCUGCAGCAAGGUAUGCAAGUUCUUUUGCCACAUCUGUUGGGGUUGCUGAGAGAUAGCCUGGCGAUGUCGUAUAUCUCAGAGCCAUGAAGAAUUGCGAAGGUAAUCAUCAUCCCCAAGGUAGGUAGAAGAGACUACUCGUUGGCCAAAUCAUUCCGGCCGAUUAGUCUCACAUCCUUCAUGCUAAAAGGGAUGGAAAAGAUAGUAGACAACAUUUAAGAUCAGAAGCGCUGAAAAUCGUACUGUGGGGAGAGAAAGAUUCGUCUUGGUACUACAAGGGGCUGCCCACAGGGCGGAGUACUAUGCCCCCUGCUAUGGAGCCUGGUAGCAGAGUACCUCUUUGAAUUGCUCACUAGCAAUGGAAUUCGUUGUCACGGGGUACGCGGACGGCAUUGUGAUAAUGGUGUGAGGAAAGUUUGAGAACACUCUUUGCGACAUCGUUCAAAGGGGCUUAAGUCUACCAAAGGGAUGGUAAAACACGGUAGGGCUAAAUAAUAACCCGGCAAAAACUACCGUGAUCCCUUUUACUUUUUUUCAAUAUUUUUUUAUUUAUUGGAUCUGCGUAGUAAAGCCUAACAAUAAGUAUUCAAAUCUUAAAUCUAUUUAAAACUACGUUUUUGAUUGCAGGAAUUUGCCAAGGCAUUAGGAAUGGGUUUGGAUGUUCGCGAAGUUUAAAAAUAUAUCUCAUUCUGCUGUCCUGAUGGGCUUUUGUUACGGCUUACUAGAGUUGUGUCAUCCGCGAAAGUGGAUGUCAAUACGUUAGUAAAUGUUGUCUGCUGUAUAUAUUAUGUACAGAGUUGGGCCCAGCACGCUAUCUUGAGGUACACUAGCCUUUAUUACUCGUUGUUCUGACAUGAAGUCUGCUACUUGAACUGUAAAUUUCCUGUUUCUUAAAUUUGACUCCAAAAUUUUAUACAGUUCAUAAGGUAAAACGUUUUUGAUUUUCCAUAAGAGGCCUUCAUGCCAGACCAUGACAAACGCCUGAGCUACAUCUAGAAAAAUAGCUGAACAGUACUCUCAGUGCUCGAAUGCUUUCCUGAUUUGGUUUAAUUCUAUUUAUUUGCUCUAAAGUGCCACGCUUAGCACCGAAUUGGUGCGUUGGUAUUAUAUUAUUUUCGUAAAGGAAAGGAGUCAUCCGUAAUAGUAACACUUUUUUAAAUAUUUUAGAAAUACAGGGUAAGAGACUUAUUGGUCUGUAGGAAGACGGCUGUGUUAUUUCUUUACCAGGUUUAUCUAUCGUGAUGAUCCGCGACUUUUUCCACGAAAUUGUAUUGUAUCCGAAACCAAGAAUUGCAUUAAAGAGCAAGGAGAGCACCGUUAUAGCAAUAUUUCGUAACCCAAUUAUCAUUUUUGGAGUAAUAUUAUCGUGCCCUGAUGCCUUUUUCGGACUUAGCUCUUUUAUGAUUCUAGUAACUUCAGAAGUUGAAGUCUUAAUAGACACAAGCGACAAGUUUGAGUUAUUGGGCAAGGUUGGCAACUUAAAGUUGUUCUUUGGGAAAUUAGGGGGAAAUACCUUUUCUGUGUAAACAUGAGAGGCAACACUUAAAAAAUGCGUUCGGUGUAGACCCAGCUCCCCAUAACUUGGUAAGCCAAAUGGUCGAAUCGGUAGAGAAGUAGAAAGCUGCUUGCGAAGUUGCCGCCAGGGUUAUGAAAUCCCAACGUGCCAGCGAACAUCGGCGGAGAAGAGAGCUGUUAAAUAUAACAGACAACCACGACUCAAAAACACAAACAUUGACAUGACGGGAAGUCUUGGUGACGAACAAUGCACGAGGAGGGUUAUCAGACCAACACAGGUGGGGCCAAGUAAAUGCAACUUGCAACUGAAUGCAUCUUGACCAACACGCAUGAGUGUCACUCAACCAUCGUCGACGUAAUACUUGCCGGUGGUGCCGGGGGGAACGGUACAUGACGGUAGGACAUUUUGUUCGGAUUAAAGUCCACUCUGACUUGAGGUUCAGGCAAAAAAAACCUUUUCUAGGUGUUCUGCAAAGCAAUUUGCCUUAUCCCCAUCACUACGUGCCCAGACACUGUCUUAGAGGCAUGCUAGAAUCUACUGGUGGCUUCAAAGACUUUUGGGCUUACCAAAGGGUGUUUUGCUUGCUAGAAUUUGGACACAUUCCUUGGCCUCACAUUAGGCUCAUCCUUACGGUGGAGUAGACAUAUGGACCUAACGCUGUCCAAAGCCACUAAGGCACUCUUGAUAUGCAGACGCUUGGCCGGCAGAUCCACGGGAUGCAAGCCAAGUAUCAUUAUAUGGCUGUAUACCAUGAUUGUAAGGCCUAUUGUCACCUAUGGAGCGGUUGUUUAGGCUGCCAAGGCAACGCAGUCUUCGGUAGGCUUAGGGGUAGUCAGAGGCACGAAGAAAUGAAAAUUUUCAGUAUUUUUUUUCGCUAUUAAAUCAUGUUAUUUUAUAAAAGUAGUAAUAUGGCAUUAUUAUAAGAUCUAUUGACCUGUAGUCACGAAAAUUAAAAAAAAAAAUUUAAUUUUCAAAGUUAUAGUUGUUUGUGUUGACCCAGUUCCAAAAAAUGGUACUUGCGGUGACAACCAUAAGUCCUUGGAGAGUCAUCUAAAAUCAAUCGAACAAAAAAAAUUAGUUUUGUAAAUAGAUAAUCCUGCGCCUGAUCGAAGCACUUUAUUUUUUUUCAAAAAUUAACAAAAUGGCGGCCUCAGGAAAUUUUUUCUAACUCAAAAACUAAUUAUCGGAUCAACGACAAAUUUUCAGAGAAUAUUUUUAAGAUAUUACACUUAACGGAAAUUAAAAAAAAAAAUAAUUUUUUGAAAAUUUUAACUACCCCUAACCCCUUAAACUAUCAAAGCUGCAAAGGCUUGCGUGUGUCUGUGCUUCAGGGGCAAUGCACACAUGCCCCACUGCAGCGCUUGAAGUCAUACUGGAGCACGCACUGCUGCACCUGGUGAUUAAACAGGUAGCGAAACAUACUGUUUCAACUCAACAAAGAUUUAUCAUUCCUUACCGCUGGUGGGGAGAAUUCAAACAGUCUUUCGUCGAGUGAGAAUUUAUUCAUUCUGAUUUUAUUUUUAAAUUUGAAAACCUUAUAUAUAUUUUUCAAAAUAUAGUAUAUAUAAAUAUAUGUGUAUGUUUAUAUGUAUGUAUGUUGGCUGUACAAAAAACUCACCUUAUAGGCCACUCACACUUUUUGUUAUAAGGAAAAUGCACUGAAUUCCGAAAUUCGUUAUAAAACCUUUUAUUUCUAUGCAGUUCAAAAUUGGUAUAACCAAAUGUGAUUUAAAAUUUAGAUUAAACGUUAAAUGUAUGUAUAUUAUAUACGAGUAUACAAAAAUUAUCAAAGUAAUUAUAAGUUGAAAACAGCCGGUUAAAAAAACG